RNAcentral lists this ribosomal RNA (585 nucleotides) under uncultured bacterium. RNAcentral's name for it is "partial 16S ribosomal RNA". It matches the Rfam family "Bacterial small subunit ribosomal RNA", at positions 355 to 1375 of the family's 1533-position model. The record is from RNAcentral.
UGGGGAAUUUUGGACAAUGGGCGAAAGCCUGAUCCAGCAAUGCCGCGUGUGUGAAGAAGGCCUUCGGGUUGUAAAGCACUUUUGUCCGGAAAGAAAUCCUUGGCUCUAAUACAGUCGGGGGAUGACGGUACCGGAAGAAUAAGCACCGGCUAACUACGUGCCAGCAGCCGCGGUAAUACGUAGGGUGCAAGCGUUAAUCGAGAUUACUGGGCGUAAAGCGUGCGCAGGCGGUUUGCUAAGACCGAUGUGAAAUCCCCGGGCUCAACCUGGGAACUGCAUUGGUGACUGGCAGGCUAGAGUAUGGCAGAGGGGGGUAGAAUUCCACGUGUAGCAGUGAAAUGCGUAGAGAUGUGGAGGAAUACCGAUGGCGAAGGCAGCCCCCUGGGCCAAUACUGACGCUCAUGCACGAAAGCGUGGGGAGCAAACAGGAUUAGAUACCCUGGUAGUCCACGCCCUAAACGAUGUCAACUAGUUGUUGGGGAUUCAUUUCCUUAGUAACGUAGCUAACGCGUGAAGUUGACCGCCUGGGGAGUACGGUCGCAAGAUUAAAACUUAAAUGAAUUGACGGGGUCAUAGCUGUUUCCU